RNAcentral lists this ribosomal RNA (441 nucleotides) under Triticum aestivum (bread wheat). RNAcentral describes it as "partial small subunit ribosomal RNA". The record is from RNAcentral. Lineage: Eukaryota; Viridiplantae; Streptophyta; Magnoliopsida; Poales; Poaceae.
AUGGAUGUUAAGACUGCUUUCCUAAAUGGAGAGUUGGAUGAGGAAAUUUAUAUGAAACAACCAGAUGGGUUUGUACUAGAUGGUCAGGAAGGGAAAGUGUGCAAGUUGCUGAAGUCUUUAUAUGGACUCAAGCAAGCACCCAAACAGUGGCAUGAGAAGUUCGAAAGAACUUUAAUAGCUGCAGGCUUUGUUGUGAACGAAGCUGACAAAUGUGUGUGCUAUCGCCAUGGUGGGGGCGAGGGAGUUAUCAUUUGCUUGUAUGUUGAUGACAUACUGAUUUUCGGAACAAAUCUGAAUGUUAUUGAGGUCAAGGAUUUCCUAUCUCGCUGUUUUGAGAUGAAGGAUUUAGGAGUGGCUAAUGUCAUUCUGAAUAUCAAGUUGUUGAGAGACGAUGAUGGUGGGUUACAUUGCUUCAAUCUCACUAUGUGGAAAAGAUCUUGA